CAAAUGAAGAGUUUGAUCCUGGCUCAGGAUGAACGCUGGCGGCGUGCCUAAUACAUGCAAGUCGAACGCUGGAAAUCUAGCUUGCUAGAUUGAAGGAGUGGCGAACGGGUGAGUAAUACAUAAGCAACCUACCCACGAAGACUGGGAUAAUCUCUGGAAACGGGGACUAAUACCGGAUAGGUAAUCGGAAGGCAUCUUCUGAUUAUUAAAGGUUAAAAACACUGGUGGAUGGGCUUAUGGCGCAUUAGUUAGUUGGUGAGGUAACGGCCCACCAAGACGAUGAUGCGUAGCCGGCCUGAGAGGG
RNAcentral lists this ribosomal RNA (304 nucleotides) under [Eubacterium] sulci. RNAcentral describes it as "partial 16S ribosomal RNA". It matches the Rfam family "Bacterial small subunit ribosomal RNA", at positions 1 to 300 of the family's 1533-position model. Lineage: Bacteria; Bacillati; Bacillota; Clostridia; Peptostreptococcales; Anaerovoracaceae. The record is from RNAcentral.